Molecule: long non-coding RNA, 1150 nt
Organism: Fukomys damarensis (Damara mole-rat)
Lineage: Eukaryota; Metazoa; Chordata; Mammalia; Rodentia; Bathyergidae
Exons: 3
Source: RefSeq, a predicted model, not a curated record
GGUGGUGCACACCUGUCACCCCAGCACUUUGGGAGGCUGAGGCAGGAGGAUCACAAGUUCCAACCCAGUUUGAGCUGCCACGGCCCCCGCAUGGCUGAAGGGUUCAUGGAGUGAUGCAGAAACCCACAAAGCACCACGUAGGGCGCUGUCCAGGCUGAAAUGCGGCUCCAUGAGGCAGAGUGUGCACAGCCCCAGGUUCCAGCCUCAGCUCUGAGUGCAAGUAUGGACCCUACCUCGUCCAGAAGCCACCCUGCCUUGGCGCAAGAGGCUCCGUGGGAUCAUAACGCCUUCCAUAGCGACACCACCUUUUGCCCAAAGCCAGCAGUCAAGCAGCAGGGCUAAGAUUGAACCUCAGUCUACAGACGGGCGCAGGUCAUCUACCGGGUGUAUCAGCACCAGUCCCUUAUGAAAGCAUGGCUUUUGAUGGAUGGGUGCUGGCCCUCCCAGUGUAGACGCAGAUUCACUUGGACCAACUGGAGGUCCUAAAGGUCUCAAAAGACAAAACGCAGCAAAGCAGCAAAGUGGAUACAUGAGGCUUAUGCACUGAUCUCCUUACGUUGUUCUGAAGUUUUUAUUUUCCGCUCAGAGCCAGGUAUGGUGGCACAGUCCUGUAAUCUCAGAGCUCUGGAGGGUCAGGUACAAAGGUUGCCACAAAUUUGAAGGCAGCCUGGGCUACAUAGUAAGUUCAAGGUCAGCCCAAACUAUACAGCAAGGCCCUAUCUCAAAAAAUUUUUUUAAUAAAAAAAAGCCCAAAAAUUUGAAAUCUCAAUUUCAGUCUAACUUUGGCCUAAAAUGUGAAAAACAAACAUGUAGGGGAAAAAAUGCCAUUCUGUGAUCCUGAGUUAUCUAUAAACAGUCCCAUUGUGGCAUAUUUCUAGUGGCCCCCCAAAGCCUCACGUGGUCAUACUUGGGGCUUUCUGGAGGUGGCUGGAUCCAGAGUGCGUGAUGCUGGGAUUGAGGGUGUGAUGACCGGACUGAUGUGAGGUGUGAGGCUAGGAUUAAGGCUGUGCCACUCUGGGUGUGAGAGCCACCUGCCUGGAUAGAAUAUGAGGGGCAGAAAGACAGCUGCUAUUAUCACUUGCUUGAUGCUGCUUUGCUGCUUCUGCCUGCCAGGAACAGUUUCUCCUCUGCGAUGCCUCCCUGCCUUGGA